This 70-nucleotide transfer RNA is filed under the name Nyctibius bracteatus (Rufous potoo). RNAcentral describes it as "tRNA-Cys". Lineage: Eukaryota; Metazoa; Chordata; Aves; Nyctibiiformes; Nyctibiidae. The record is from RNAcentral.
GGCUCUGUAGUGAAAUCUAUCAUGUUGAGUUGCAAGCUCAUCGAUGUGCGUUAAGGACGUACCAGAGUCU